Haliotis rubra (blacklip abalone) is the source of this 103-nucleotide long non-coding RNA. RefSeq lists it as uncharacterized. Lineage: Eukaryota; Metazoa; Mollusca; Gastropoda; Lepetellida; Haliotidae. The transcript has 3 exons. The record is from RefSeq and is a predicted model, not a curated record.
CGAACAUGAUGAUAUCUCGAACUAAAUCCUUUGUCUCUAAAGGACUCUGUAGCUUAUCUUUAACUACUUUAUACCAUUAACACCUGCAAAGCUAGUUUUAUUC